GUGGCUCCACUAAUUAGGUGUGCGGUCCCCCAGGUGCUCACCUUAGAGGGAACUAUCCACAGACCACCUGAAUGAAGCUCUCGGACCACUGGUGGUCCACGGACCACAGUUUGAGAACCUCUGGAUUAGUCUGCAAAACUCUAGUCAAUGAUUGUCUGACUAGUGUGUAUAAAACCAUGCUUUUUUGCACGGGGUUUUAAAUUGAGAACCUAUAGAUAGCAAUCAUGUUUUUACAAGAUGCCUACAGACACCAAGAAGUUAGAAUUGCCUUUGAAUGCGCCUGCAUGUGUUCGGAAGAGACAAGCUUAUUACACUUAUUUUGCUAAAGAGGAAUCACCAAUACCGAAUCCCGUGUUCCAUCCAGAAUUUGAACUGAAGAACCAGGGAGACUUUAUGGAGUUGUCACCGGUUGUAAAUGAGGAAAAAGAUGUAAAGGACAGGGCACAGAGAGAUUUUUUGCCUGUUAUGGAGCAGGCAGACUCGAGGGCAGAGGUAAGAAGGGUCUAUAUUAUUUUAUAACAAAUUGUUGAAAAAUUAUAAGAGGUUAAAUAUUUAUAUUUUUUAUAGGCAGGAGAGGAAGAAAAGCCUUAUAUACGUGGACAGAGCGGCUGUGGAAUUGUCAGAGGCUAGUGAGGCUCAGAGUCAGGCAGUAACUGAUGAAUCAUGGGCAGAUGGCGACAUUGUUAUGAUAACCAAGCCAGGACCAUACAGGAUCACAACCCAAGUGUGUAGCAAGUGGCCAUUAGCUUCAGAACUAUCUAAGCCAGAAGCACAUGACAAGCAAAGACAGAUGACACGGAGAGAAACUCGGUUCCUGACAAUGCGACUGACGGGGAUGAUGAUGAUUCAGAAACAGAUGAGGGUAUGAUUGAGAUACUUCAGGAUGAAGAGGAUAAGAGAACCAGCCUUUGGGAAGGAUAAACCUGAUAUGCACAUGCUCCUUUUGCAUGAAGCAAGAUUAAAAAAAAAUACCGUAAAAAGUACAGUAGAACCUCAGAGUUAUGAACACCUUGGGAAUGGAGGUUGUUCGGAACUCUGAAAUGUUCGUAACUCAGAACAAAACUUUAUGGUUCUUU
Molecule: long non-coding RNA, 1076 nt
Organism: Chelonia mydas (Green sea turtle)
Lineage: Eukaryota; Metazoa; Chordata; Testudines; Cheloniidae
Exons: 4
Source: RefSeq, a predicted model, not a curated record